Molecule: ribosomal RNA, 255 nt
Filed under: uncultured bacterium
Lineage: Bacteria
Description: partial 16S ribosomal RNA
Source: RNAcentral
CUGCUGCCUUCCGUAGGAGUUUGGGCCGUGUCUCAGUCCCAAUGUGGCCGGUCACCCUCUCGGGUCGGCUACUGAUCGUUGCCUUGGUGAGCCGUUACCUCUCCAACUAGCUAAUCAGACGCAGGUCCAUCUCAUACCACCUCAGUUUUUCACACCAAACCAUGCGGUUUUGUGCGCUUAUGCGGUAUUAGCAGUCAUUUCUAACUGUUAUCCCCCUGUAUGAGGCAGGUUACCCACGCGUUACUCACCCGUCCG